RNAcentral lists this ribosomal RNA (254 nucleotides) under uncultured bacterium. RNAcentral describes it as "partial 16S ribosomal RNA". It matches the Rfam family "Bacterial small subunit ribosomal RNA", at positions 524 to 776 of the family's 1533-position model. The record is from RNAcentral.
UACGGAGGGUGCGAGCGUUAUCCGGAAUCACUGGGUUUAAAGGGUGCGUAGGCGGCGAGGUAAGUCAGUUGUGAAAUUCUCCGGCUCAACCGGGUGGACUGCGAUUGAUACUGCUUUGCUUGAAACAGGUUGAGGUAAGCGGAAUGUGGCAUGUAGCGGUGAAAUGCAUAGAUAUGCCAUAGAACACCGAUUGCGAAGGCAGCUUGCUGGGCCUAGUUUGACGCUGAGGAACGAAAGCGUGGGGAGCAAACAGG